GACGAACGCUGGCGGCGUGCCUAACACAUGCAAGUCGAACGGAAAGGCCCUGCUUUUGUGGGGUGCUCGAGUGGCGAACGGGUGAGUAACACGUGAGUAACCUGCCCUUGACUUUGGGAUAACUUCAGGAAAAUGGGGCUAAUACCGGAUAGGAGCUCCUGCUGCAUGGUGGGGGUUGGAAAGAUUCGGCGGUUGGGGAUGGACUCGCGGCUUAUCAGCUAGUUGGUGGGGUAGUGGCUUACCAAGGCUUUGACGGGUAGCCGGCCUGAGAGGGUGACCGGCCACAUUGGGACUGAGAUACGGCCCAGACUCCUACGGGAGGCAGCAGUGGGGAAUAUUGCACAGUGGGCGGAAGCGUGAUGCAGCAACGCCGCGUGCGGGAUGACGGCCUUCGGGUUGUAAACCGCUGUCGCCUGUGACGAAGCGUGAGUGACGGUAAUGGGUAAAGAAGCACCGGCUAACUACGUG
This 468-nucleotide ribosomal RNA is filed under the name uncultured bacterium. Its description in RNAcentral is "partial 16S ribosomal RNA". It matches the Rfam family "Bacterial small subunit ribosomal RNA", at positions 28 to 507 of the family's 1533-position model. The record is from RNAcentral.